AUUCGGCGUCGAGCGGCGGCCGGGUAGUAAUGUUUGGGAAAUUGCCUUUUGUGGGGGAAAAGUUUGGAACGACUGCUAAACCGCAUAACGUUACGGACAAAGCGGGGGACCUUCGGAGCCUCGUGCCAAAAGAUUAGCCCAAGUGAGAUUAGCUAGUCGGUGGGGUAACGGCCUACCAAGGCGACGAUCUCUAGCUGGUUUGAGAGGAUGAUCAGCCACACUGGGACUUGAACACGGCCCAGACUCCUACGGGAGGCAGCAGUGGGGAAUACCGCACAAUGGGGGAAACCCUGAUGCAGCCAUGCCGCGUGUGUGAAGAAGGCCUUCGGGUUGUAAAGCACUUUUCAGUCGUGAGGAAAGGGGUGUAGCUAAUAUCUGCAUCCUGUGACGUUAGCGACAGAAGAAGCACCGGCUAACUUCCGUGCCAGCAGCCGCGGUAAUACGGAGGGUGCGAGCGUUAAUCGGAAUUUACUGGGCGUAAAGCGUGCGUAGGCGGUUUUGAUAGGCCAGAUGUGAAAUCCCGGGGCUUAACCUCGGAACUGCAUUUGGAACUGUUUGACUAGAGUACUGUAGAGGGUGGUGGAAUUCUCCAGUGUAGCGGUGAAAUGCGUAGAGAUUGGAAGGAACAUCAGUGGCGAAGGCGGCCACCUGGACAGAUACUGACGCUGAG
RNAcentral lists this ribosomal RNA (670 nucleotides) under uncultured bacterium. RNAcentral describes it as "bacterial SSU rRNA". It matches the Rfam family "Bacterial small subunit ribosomal RNA", at positions 83 to 750 of the family's 1533-position model. The record is from RNAcentral.